CAGUCGCCGCGGUAAUACGUAGGUGGCAAGCGUUGUCCGGAAUUAUUGGGCGUAAAGGGCUCGCAGGCGGUUUCUUUAGUCUGAUGUGAAAGCCCCCGGCUCAACCGGGGAGGGUCAUUGGAAACUGGGAAACUUGAGUGCAGAAGAGGAGAGUGGAAUUCCACGUGUAGCGGUGAAAUGCGUAGAGAUGUGGAGGAACACCAGUGGCGAAGGCGACUCUCUGGUCUGUAACUGACGCUGAGGAGCGAAAGCGUGGGGAGCGAACAGGAUUAGAUACACCAGUAGUCCCUGUCUCUUAUAC
Molecule: ribosomal RNA, 301 nt
Filed under: uncultured bacterium
Lineage: Bacteria
Description: partial 16S ribosomal RNA
Rfam family: Bacterial small subunit ribosomal RNA
Source: RNAcentral